Molecule: ribosomal RNA, 253 nt
Filed under: uncultured Eubacteriales bacterium
Lineage: Bacteria; Bacillati; Bacillota; Clostridia; Eubacteriales
Description: uncultured Clostridiales bacterium partial 16S ribosomal RNA
Rfam family: Bacterial small subunit ribosomal RNA
Source: RNAcentral
UACGUAGGGGGCAAGCGUUAUCCGGAUUUACUGGGUGUAAAGGGAGCGUAGACGGCGCUGCAAGUCCGGAGUGAAAGCCCAUGGCUUAACCAUGGUACUGCUCUGGAAACUGUGGAGCUUGAGUGCGGGAGGGGCAGGCGGAAUUCCUAGUGUAGCGGUGAAAUGCGUAGAUAUCACGCAGAACUCCGAUUGCGAAGGCAGCAUACCGGCGCCCUACUGACGCUGAGGCACGAAAGCGUGGGUAUCGAACAGG